This 812-nucleotide ribosomal RNA is filed under the name uncultured bacterium. Its description in RNAcentral is "bacterial SSU rRNA". It matches the Rfam family "Bacterial small subunit ribosomal RNA", at positions 8 to 796 of the family's 1533-position model. The record is from RNAcentral.
AGAGUUUGAUCCUGGCUCAGAACGAACGCUGGCGGCGUACUUAACACAUGCAAGUCGGACGAGAAAAGAGACUUCGGUCUCUAAGUACAGUGGCGCACGGGUGCGUAACACGUAAGUAAUCUGCCCCGAACUCCAGGAUAACCCUCCGAAAGGAGGGCUAAUACUAGAUAGGGUCCCCGAGGUGUAGGCUGCGGGGGGAAAACGGGCCUCUGUUUCACGCUCGUGGUUCGGGAUGAGCUUGCGGCCCAUUAGCUUGUUGGUAGGGUAAUGGCUUACCAAGGCUACGAUGGGUAGCUGGUCUGAGAGGAUGAUCAGCCACACUGGCACUGAGACACGGGCCAGACUCCUACGGGAGGCAGCAGUGGGGAAUUUUGCGCAAUGGGCGAAAGCCUGACGCAGUAACGCCGCGUGGAGGAUGAAGGCCUUCGGGUUGUAAACUCCUGUCAGGGGGAACGACGGGGAGAGGGUGAUAAAUCCUUUCCUCCAGACGGUACCUCCAAAGGAAGCCCCGGCUAAUUCCGUGCCAGCAGCCGCGGUAAUACGGAAGGGGCAAGCGUUGUUCGGAAUCAUUGGGCGUAAAGGGCGCGUAGGUGGUUCUGUAUGUCUACCGUGAAAGCAUACGGCUCAACUGUAUUUUGUCGGUAGAAACUGCAGGACUUGAGGCUGGGAGGGGCUGGUGGAAUUCCCUGUGUAGCGGUGAAAUGCGUAGAGAUGGGGGAGAACACUCGUGGCGAAGGCGGCCAGCUAGACCAGUUCUGACACUGAGGCGCGACAGCGUGGGGAGCAAACAGGAUUAGAUACCCCCGUAGUCC